RNAcentral lists this ribosomal RNA (410 nucleotides) under uncultured microorganism. RNAcentral's name for it is "bacterial SSU rRNA". It matches the Rfam family "Archaeal small subunit ribosomal RNA", at positions 330 to 745 of the family's 1478-position model. The record is from RNAcentral.
GUGCAGCAGGCGCGAAACUUUACAAUGUGCGAAAGCACGAUAAGGGAACUCUGAGUGCCUCCUAAGGAGGCUGUUCAGGUGUCUAAAAGCACCUGAAGGAAGGGCUGGGUAAGACCGGUGCCAGCCGCCGCGGUAACACCGGCAGCCCAAGUGGUAGCCACGUUUAUUGGGUCUAAAGCGUCCGUAGCCGGCUGGGUAAGUUCCUUGGGAAAUUUGGCUGCUUAACAGUCAAGCUUUCAGGGAAUACUGCUCGGCUUGGGGACCGGGAGAGGUCAGAGGUACUCCAGGGGUAGGGGUGAAAUCCAUUAAUCCUUGGGGGACCACCGGUAGCGAAGGCGUCUGACCAGACCGGGUCCGACGGUGAGGGACGAAGGCUAGGGGGCGCGAACCGGAUUAGAUACCCCUGUAGU